GGACCUCGUGGAGAAGGCCACCAUGCAAUUUACGGAACUCUCGGAUAACACCAACCUCCAAGUGCCGUUGGGUUAACGGCCCAAAUUCUCAACCAGCUAGAUCGGACGGUUCACGUUUAUCCUCCAACACCCCCCCGCCCCCAACCCUCUUCGACCUUCUCCUCCACACCACACUCUUUGUACUCUCCGACACCAGACCGGGAAUUUCCUCACGUUAUUUGAAAGUAGAUAGCAUCUAAUUUGAGCGCCUUUUUUCUUUCUUUCUUCCUUAGGGUUUUCAAAUGGCGGCAAUUGAACCUUCAAGAAUUUCAAUUCACAGAAAAUUCUAUCUGAAUUCGAACGGUAAUCGCCGGGACUUGUACAGAUAUGGCUUUUUCUGUGACCGAUUUAGGGUUUUGCAUCAAGAACCGAGACGUUUUCCUGCCAAUUCGAUGUCGUUUCGGUCGAUUAACGUGUAUACACAAGAUAGGGUUUCGCGGGGCUUGGGUAGGUUUGAUCUGUGGAGAGGGCUUCUGAGGAAGCAAGAUUGGAGGGAGAGUAGAAUACGUGCCAAUAGUUCUUGCGAGCAAGAUACAGAUUCCAAGACUAAUUCGGCGGAGAAUAGUGAAGGCAAGGCCGGUGAGAGCCAAGGAGUUAGCAAGAAGCAGCCGAGUUCGAAACCGUCGCCGCCACCGCCGCCGAGGAAGGAGAAGCACCGGAAAGGUGGGUGGUUGAAGGGCGGGAAAUGGCAGUGGCAGCCGAUAAUUCAGGCGCAGGAGAUUGGUAUACUGUUGUUGCAAUUAGGGAUUGUCAUGUUUGUUAUGAGGUUGCUCCGGCCGGGAAUUCCGCUGCCGGGAUCGGAGCCGAGGACUCCCACUGCAUUUGUCAGCGUUCCAUAUAGUGAUUUUUUAAGUAAAAUCAAUAGUAAUCAGGUGCAGAAGGUUGAAGUGGACGGUGUUCAUAUUAUGUUCAAGUUGAAGUCCGAUCAGGGUAUUGUGGAAACUGAAGUGGGAAGCAACAGUAAGUUGCAAGAUUCAGAAGCAUUGUUGAGAAGUGUUGCCCCCACUAAGAGGAUUGUUUACACAACGACCCGUCCCACUGAUAUCAAGACUCCAUACGAGAAGAUGGUUGAGAAUGAUGUUGAAUUUGGAUCGCCAGAUAAGCGGUCAGGUGGAUUCUUAAAUUCUGCAUUGGUAGCUUUGUUCUAUGUGGCUGUGCUUGCAGGGCUUCUUCAUCGCUUCCCUGUAAGUUUCUCACAGCACACAGCUGGUCAGCUUAGGAACCGCAAGUCUGGAGGUUCUGGUGGAGCAAAAGUGUCCGAACAAGGUGAAACUGUUACAUUUGCUGAUGUUGCAGGUGUUGAUGAGGCUAAGGAGGAGCUAGAAGAAAUUGUGGAAUUUCUCAGGAAUCCAGACAGGUACACACGAGUUGGUGCUCGCCCUCCUCGAGGUGUUCUCCUGGUGGGUCUUCCUGGGACAGGUAAGACACUUUUAGCAAAGGCUGUAGCUGGAGAAGCUGAUGUUCCUUUCAUUAGUUGUUCUGCAAGUGAGUUUGUGGAAUUGUAUGUCGGCAUGGGGGCAUCCCGUGUCAGAGAUCUCUUUGCAAGAGCCAAGAAGGAGGCACCCUCAAUUGUUUUUAUAGAUGAGAUAGAUGCUGUAGCAAAAAGCCGUGAUGGUAGAUUUCGCAUUGUCAGUAAUGAUGAGCGGGAACAGACCUUGAACCAGCUGCUCACUGAGAUGGAUGGGUUUGAUAGCAAUUCUGCUGUGAUAGUUCUUGGGGCAACCAAUCGCUCUGAUGUCUUAGACCCUGCACUUCGUCGACCUGGCAGAUUUGAUCGUGUGGUUAUGGUGGAAACACCUGAUAGAACUGGAAGAGAAGCAAUUUUGAAAGUACAUGUUUCCAAGAAGGAACUUCCUUUAGGAGAUGAUGUUGAUCUUGUGGCUAUUGCUUCUAUGACUACUGGGUUUACAGGGGCAGACCUUGCAAACUUGGUAAAUGAGGCCGCUCUGUUGGCAGGAAGAGAAAAUAAAGUUGUCGUUGAGAAAAUUGACUUUAUUCAAGCCGUGGAGCGGUCCAUAGCUGGAAUUGAGAAAAAAACUACCAAGUUGAAGGGAAGUGAGAAGGCCGUAGUUGCUCGGCAUGAAGCUGGUCAUGCAGUGGUAGGGACUGCUGUUGCAAACCUCCUGCCUGGACAGCCACGUGUGGAGAAGUUGAGUAUAUUGCCAAGGUCAGGAGGGGCAUUGGGGUUUACUUACACUCCUCCCACCAAUGAGGAUAGGUAUUUGCUCUUUAUUGAUGAGUUACGAGGGCGCUUGGUUACUCUUCUUGGAGGACGUGCUGCAGAAGAAGUUGUUUAUGCAGGCCGUGUGUCAACUGGUGCACUUGAUGAUAUACGAAGAGCAACAGACAUGGCAUACAAGGCAGUGGCUGAGUACGGUCUUAAUGAGACAAUUGGCCCUGUUUCCUUGGCUACACUUUCUGGUGGCGGGGCUGAUGAAUCAGGGGCUAUUCCUUGGGGAAGGGAUCAGGGUCAUCUUGUGGACCUUGUUCAAAGAGAGGUCAAAGCACUUCUCCAGUCUGCCCUUGAUGUAGCCCUCUCUGUUGUACAGGCUAAUCCCACUGUUCUGGAGGGGCUUGGUGCACAUUUGGAAGAAAAGGAGAAAGUAGAAGGUGAAGAGCUGCAAGAGUGGUUGAAGUUGGUGGUUGCACCAGCAGAACUUAAAUUGUUCAUUAGAGGAAAGCAAGGGGCCCUUCUUCCACUAAAAGCAGGUUCCUGAUAGUAUCUACUGCAUGCUGUGGACUCAUCAAGCUCGAAAGCUCAGGCUGCACUUCUACGUUCCAGCUACGUCUUAACCAUUUGCAAGUAAUGAAGAUAAAACUGUGUUCACGACAUUGACUCCUCAUCAAUUCCACUGCAUAAUUGACAGUGACUCGCCCUUGCAACUUCACAAUCUUACGCCAAGUUAUAUUAGAUACAACGAAGAGUUGGCAUGCAUUAGGGAUGUGUGUUUGGGACAUUGGCAGCGUGCGCUUCUGCUAGUAACUGUUGUUUCCUGAAGCUUGACGCAAAUGGAGAACAUCUUAUAUCAAUCAAAGCUUACUUUCCCAGGGAACUCAAGACCCUCUGUUUUUGCUUUUAUUUUUAUUUUUUAAAUUUUUUUUUUUUACAGACGCUGUAUGUUUGGAGAGUUUGUAUCCAGUAUUUCUCUAUCAUACUUGUUUAACACCAUCAUAAAGCCAAGCCAGAUCCUCAAGGAAUAUAACAUGAGAUGGAAAUUCUGUUUGCCAA
RNA transcript from Diospyros lotus (date-plum), 3268 nucleotides. It is a transcript of the gene named ATP-dependent zinc metalloprotease FTSH 9, chloroplastic-like, with no coding region annotated. NCBI's taxonomy places the organism in Eukaryota, Viridiplantae, Streptophyta, Magnoliopsida, Ericales, Ebenaceae. The record is from RefSeq and is a predicted model, not a curated record. The transcript is spliced from 14 exons.